AGAGUUUGAUCAUGGCUCAGGAUGAACGCUAGCUACAGGCUUAACACAUGCAAGUCGAGGGGCAGCAUGUUGGUUGCUUGCAACCAAUGAUGGCGACCGGCGCACGGGUGAGUAACGCGUAUCCAACCUACCCUUGUCCAUCGGAUAACCCGUCGAAAGGCGGCCUAACACGAUAUGCGGUUCUCAGCAGGCAUCUAACGUAAACGAAAUGUGAAGGAGAAGGAUGGGGAUGCGUCUGAUUAGCUUGUUGGCGGGGUAACGGCCACCAAGGCUACGAUCAGUAGGGGUUCUGAGAGGAAGGUCCCCCANAUUGGAACUGAGACACGGUCCAAACUCCUACGGGAGGCA
RNAcentral lists this ribosomal RNA (348 nucleotides) under uncultured bacterium. RNAcentral describes it as "bacterial SSU rRNA". It matches the Rfam family "Bacterial small subunit ribosomal RNA", at positions 8 to 350 of the family's 1533-position model. The record is from RNAcentral.